RNAcentral lists this small RNA (629 nucleotides) under Pan troglodytes (chimpanzee). Its description in RNAcentral is "processed transcript". The record is from RNAcentral. Lineage: Eukaryota; Metazoa; Chordata; Mammalia; Primates; Hominidae.
UGUCAGCUUUCAGUGUAGUGAGAUUAUUCCUGUAGGUUAUGGGGUAUAAUUCAGGAUUUAACUAAUGUUUCUGCUAUUUUCUCACUUUUCCUUUUGAUGGUGCGGAAAGAGAAAAAGGAAAACGGGGCACAGGCCAUUCGACGCCUUCUCCAAGGGGUCUGAUUUGCUGAGACACCAGCUUCACCUUCUUAACAAGGCACCUAAUUACAACAAGCAUGCACAUUUUGGUGCAUUCAAGAAUGGAAAAUCAGAAUAGCAGCAUUGAUUCUUCUGGUGGGUUUUGCUCCAUUUAAAGACAUGAAAUGAACUACAGCCAGGAAGGUGAUAGAUGAUAUAAUAAGCCACCUCUGAACCUACACCCCGUCUCUUCACGGUUUAGACUUACUAAAAUAAAUACAAGGUGCAGCUCAGUGGAAGAUGAUGACAACCAGAAGACAUGAGCUAAGGGUAAGGGACUGUUCUGAAGAACCUUUCCAUUUAGUGAUCAAGAUAUGGAAGCUGAUUGCUGAAAAUGCUCAGUGUAUACUCUAAUUAUUUAUGGUACCAUUUGAAUUGUAACUUGCAUUUUAGCAGUGCAUGUUUCUAAUUGACUUACUGGGAAACUGAAUAAAAUAUGCCUCUUAUUAUCA